RNAcentral lists this transfer RNA (69 nucleotides) under Paranephrops planifrons. RNAcentral describes it as "tRNA-Val". It matches the Rfam family "tRNA". Rfam says of the family: Transfer RNA (tRNA) molecules are approximately 80 nucleotides in length. Their secondary structure includes four short double-helical elements and three loops (D, anti-codon, and T loops). Further hydrogen bonds mediate the characteristic L-shaped molecular structure. tRNAs have two regions of fundamental functional importance: the anti-codon, which is responsible for specific mRNA codon recognition, and the 3' end, to which the tRNAs corresponding amino acid is attached (by aminoacyl-tRNA synthetases). tRNAs cope with the degeneracy of the genetic code in two manners: having more than one tRNA (with a specific anti-codon) for a particular amino acid; and 'wobble' base-pairing, i.e. permitting non-standard base-pairing at the 3rd anti-codon position. Lineage: Eukaryota; Metazoa; Arthropoda; Malacostraca; Decapoda; Parastacidae. The record is from RNAcentral.
CAAAGUAAAGCUAAAGGUUAGCAUUUCACUUACAUUGAAAAGGUUGUCGUAUCAAGCGAUUUAUUUUGA